AUGCACUGGCUUCGCUGAUUCCUCCUUUCUGAAAACUGUAAUGCCAUUAAUUUGGUGUUGCAGGGAAACAGGACUGUUACUUUGAAAAAAUUAUAGUGUUUAAAGCAGGCUAACGCUUGAAUACAUUAGCAUGGAAUAAUGAAAUAGGACGUUUGAUCCUAUUUUGUUGGUUUCUAGGAUUGACGUAAUGAUUAAUAGGGAUAGUUGGGGGCAUUAGUAUUCAAUUGUCAGAGGUGAAAUUCUUGGAUUUAUUGAAGACUGACUACUGCGAAAGCAUUUGCCAAGGAUGUUUUCAUUAAUCUUUAACGAAAGUUAGGGGAUCGAAGACGAUCAGAUACCGUCGUAGUCUUAACCAUAGACUAUGCCGACUAGGGAUCGGAUGAUGUUAAUUUUUUAAUGACUCAUUCGGCGCCUUACG
This 418-nucleotide ribosomal RNA is filed under the name uncultured Glomeromycotina. RNAcentral describes it as "SSU rRNA". It matches the Rfam family "Eukaryotic small subunit ribosomal RNA", at positions 676 to 1092 of the family's 1831-position model. Lineage: Eukaryota; Fungi; Glomeromycota. The record is from RNAcentral.